Drosophila miranda is the source of this 1294-nucleotide long non-coding RNA. RefSeq lists it as uncharacterized. The record is from RefSeq and is a predicted model, not a curated record. The transcript is spliced from 2 exons. NCBI's taxonomy places the organism in Eukaryota, Metazoa, Arthropoda, Insecta, Diptera, Drosophilidae.
UGAUGCAGCGCUAUCUGCCGGUGCUCGUCUUCCUCUACGUGCUACGUAGCAGCGCCCUCUGACGGUGGGACACGCCUGCGAUGAGUAGGCUAUCGCCGUCUUGUAGCCCUGGUCAGCAGCUGUUGCUCUGAUCAGGAAAAUAGACAUACAGAAAAACGUGGAGCUCAUCCUAAAGAAGCUAAGGCAACUGGUGCAUUAUGUCGGGCCUUAAAACGGCCAACCUACGCAUACUCGCGCGGUGCAGGCAACUCAGUUGCCUGACAUGGCAACUCCGUCGCCAUCCAUCUUGGGCCGGUGAGAGGAGGAGAGAAACUCACCCCGGGAGCUUCGUGAGUGUUAUGAGUGAGUUGGAGUUUGAGUGACAAACCCCAAAUUAAUUUAGCCAUGGCAGAUUGCUUUAAAAUCCUGAUUGACGACCUUCUUGGGUUUGGACACGGUCUGCUCGGGCCAGGAGUCCAGAGUAAAGCUCAGUAGGCAUCGCGCCCAUAGGUUAUAGCCAGUCACUUCACUCAGUGGCUGCUACCGCCGACGCGGAAGAAAAGAACCGCCAGCCUGGAUCGGAGGCGGGCACAACGAGGAGGAGCUCGACCUGCCCUGAUAGCCAGAACGGUACCUCGUCAGCCCAGGGCCUAUUCCACCCCCGGCGGCUCCGCAGACACACGGACCGCGGCGCAAACACAGGAGCAACGGAGGCGCGCGACCGACCCGGGUUUUUUCACACUCUGUGUUAUAUGUAUGUAUAUAUGUAUAUGUAUACAUAUGUAUAUGUGGCACGGUGUUGUUAUUGUACAAUGUACAUCCAGAUCCAUAACAAUAUUGAUGGCAUUCUGAUUGGGCAUACAAAUACUAGUACCUCUCCGACGUUCUUGCUCAUGUCUUUUUGUUUUGUUUUUUUUCUUUGAAUUUCUAUCUUUUUUCAUAGGAAACAAAAAAAAUGGACGCAAAAUUAUUGUUAUAGUAGUAUUCAAGUUGACCCAUUUUGCUUUUUAUGUUUGUUUAACUAUUUAUGUAUAUAGGAAUAUGCAAAACGUACACUUAAUAUAUUUUAUUUUUAGGUUUUUUUUGCUUUUUUUUUCCCCACGUUACUUCAUUAAGGUUUCCGUUACUAUAUAGUAAAUGCAGCUCUAAAACUUUGUAUUCUCUGACAUUGUUUAUUUUUUAAUUUCUGUGUGGGUAUUGUAUAUAGUCCUUAUGCCUGCUCAAUUACAUUUAAUAACAUUUCUAUAGAAAUAUUCAAAGCUGAGGUAGUUUUUUCAUUCAUUAUUCAUUUACUUUAGUUUAUGUUUAGUUUAGU